GUGCUUGCUUUGACAGCACAUAUACUAGAAUUGGAACGAUACAGAGAUAAGCAUGGCCCCUGCACAAGGAUGACACACAAAUUCAUGAAGAGAAAGUCAUAUAA
Dromiciops gliroides (monito del monte) is the source of this 104-nucleotide small nuclear RNA. Lineage: Eukaryota; Metazoa; Chordata; Mammalia; Microbiotheria; Microbiotheriidae. The record is from RefSeq and is a predicted model, not a curated record.